GACGAACGCUGGCGGCGUGCCUAAUACAUGCAAGUAGAACGCACAGUUUAUACCGUAGCUUGCUACACCAUAGACUGUGAGUUGCGAACGGGUGAGUAACGCGUAGGUAACCUGCCUGGUAGCGGGGGAUAACUAUUGGAAACGAUAGCUAAUACCGCAUAAUAUUAAUUAUUGCAUGAUAAUUAAUUGAAAGGUGCAAUUGCACCACUACCAGAUGGACCUGCGUUGUAUUAGCUAGUAGGUGAGGUAACGGCUCACCUAGGCGACGAUACAUAGCCGACCUGAGAGGGUGAUCGGCCACACUGGGACUGAGACACGGCCCAGACUCCUACGGGAGGCAGCAGUAGGGAAUCUUCGGCAAUGGACGAAAGUCUGACCGAGCAACGCCGCGUGAGUGAAGAAGGUUUUCGGAUCGUAAAGCUCUGUUGUAAGAGAAGAACGGGUGUGAGAGUGGAAAGUUCGCACUGUGACGGUAGCUUACCAGAAAGGGACGGCUAACUACGUG
RNAcentral lists this ribosomal RNA (505 nucleotides) under uncultured bacterium. Its description in RNAcentral is "partial 16S ribosomal RNA". It matches the Rfam family "Bacterial small subunit ribosomal RNA", at positions 28 to 507 of the family's 1533-position model. The record is from RNAcentral.